Molecule: long non-coding RNA, 576 nt
Filed under: Brassica napus (rape)
Lineage: Eukaryota; Viridiplantae; Streptophyta; Magnoliopsida; Brassicales; Brassicaceae
Description: long non-coding RNA (BNAP_LNC012405)
Source: RNAcentral
GAGGCUAAGUUUAUAUUGCUUAUGUGAUAGUGACAAGUCAACGAGAGAGAUAUAUAUAUAAUUAAUUGAGAGUGCUGUGUUUUAUUAUAUAUUUUGUAUGUAUCAAACAAGAGAGAUAUAAUAAACGAAUGAUUUUUUUUCUCACUUUCAUUUGACCAGAAAACACACAUAUUUAUAGGAGGGGUAAGUCGGCAACCAUUUCCUUCACCAAGAAGUAAAUAAUAUUUUACUACCAAAAGGAUAAACAUUAUCCUUAUAUUGGAUAAUCAUUCAUUAUCUAAUACUCCCCUUUGAUUAUCCAAUUUGUAUUACGUAGUGCCUCGUUAAAAAUCUAGUCAUGGAAAAACCCAUUGGGAUAAAAACCAUGACGAGGGAAAAAGAGUACACUGCUGUAAUCUCUCCAUGAGAAUAGUAGCCCUAGCUUUCUCGUCACAGGUCACGUAAAUGCCGCAUCCCGAUACCAUAAAUAUAUUUUCUGAACGUUGUAGUGGGAUGGGCCUUUGUGAACAAGUCCGCCGGGAUUGUCGCAUGACCACCUUUUUAUUUUUCUCGAGCUCCCAUAUGUACGAGAAAAAU